CAGACGGCCUGCCAAGUUUCAGGGACUGAUGCUAGGAAUUUGCAGAAAAGUUAACACCUGAGCCCUGACCAGAAGGAUCUCGUAACUUAUCAUCAGAAAGACCUGAGGGCCUGAGGGCCUUUGGGGCUCUGGGUUCCUGACCAGGAGGGCACUGGGGAGUGGAGAGCUGGAGGGGCACAGAGGGAAGGCACUGUGGGUACAUUACGGUGCUGACCAUCAAUGGUACCCUUAACCAUCCGGCCCCCGGACCAUUCUCAGGAUCUCCACCCCCACCUCAGAGGUCUGUAAAAGCUCUCAAAAGCACCAGAAGAAACAGAAGGAGAUGGAAGGUGUGGCUGACAUUUUCACCCCAUUUGGUAAAUCCCUGUUCUCAAGUGCAGAGCAGGUCUUAGGUUCACAAAGAAGAGAGAGCGCUCCUCCCAGCCCAGCUAAGCCUGCCCUGAGGUGUGCUGGCCCUUCCUGCUGGCCCCUGGGGAGAAAAAGCACUUCUGGGGGUAACUGGGAGAGUCCUUCCUUUUAAUCAGGGAGCACUGUUUGAGGAAACAGUUGGGGGGGUUGGAGGGGAGGGAGGAAGAAUGUUAACAGAUCAGUUAAGGAUGCAGAGUGUUAACAGAACAGU
Long non-coding RNA from Herpailurus yagouaroundi (jaguarundi), 619 nucleotides. RefSeq lists it as uncharacterized. NCBI's taxonomy places the organism in Eukaryota, Metazoa, Chordata, Mammalia, Carnivora, Felidae. The record is from RefSeq and is a predicted model, not a curated record. The transcript has 3 exons.